Molecule: long non-coding RNA, 809 nt
Organism: Cucumis melo (muskmelon)
Lineage: Eukaryota; Viridiplantae; Streptophyta; Magnoliopsida; Cucurbitales; Cucurbitaceae
Exons: 5
Source: RefSeq, a predicted model, not a curated record
AGUACGUCCCUUUUAACGCUAGCCUCGACUCCACUGAGUGCUACUCUCUCGACGAGAUCGUUUACCGAAGUCGAUCUGGUGGGUUACUCGACAUUCAACACGACAUGGAGGCAUUGAAGAAAUAUGACGGCGCCUAUUGGCGAAACCUCUUCGAUUCGCGCGUGGGGAAAACUACGUGGCCUUAUGGUUCCGGCGUUUGGAGUAAGAAGGAAUGGGUGUUGCCGGAGAUCGAUCCUGACGAUAUUGUCGGCGCUUUCAAAGUUAACAUGGAUGUGGACAAGACUUUUGUUCGAGAUUUGGACUACUGAAACACAACCGUGUCUGGCUAUGAGUUGAAUGAGGAAAAUAAACUGUACAAGUCCUCUGUGAUGGUUACAGCCGGUGCAAAUCAGGCAUUCGUUAACCUUGUUCUUACAUUGUGUGAUGCUGGGGAUUCUGUGGUUAUGUUUGCUCCGUAUUACUUCAAUGCCUACAUGUCUUUUCAAAUGACUGGUGUCACUAAUAUAUUGGUUGGUCCCAGUGACCCAAAAACACUUCAUCCUGAUCCAGAUAAUUGAAGUGAUAUCGGGUUGAAAGCUAAGCGAUUGUGUAGAAAUGGUCAAGCGACCGUUGAAAAUUGAAGACUGAGAAGGCAUUUAGGAUUUUUAAUUAUUUAAUUCUUGUAUUAGAAUUUUUUUUUCAUGUACUAUUGUAGAAAUGUAUAUAUAAACAUAAUAUUAAUAUUUUAUUUUGUGUAUUCAAAUGUAAAAGACAAAUGUUAUAGUUUCUAACAUAAUAUGAAUUUCAUUGAUUUGUUGGCGUGUGAAAAA